RNAcentral lists this long non-coding RNA (5861 nucleotides) under Nicotiana tabacum (common tobacco). RNAcentral describes it as "long non-coding RNA (NTAB_LNC006511)". The record is from RNAcentral. Lineage: Eukaryota; Viridiplantae; Streptophyta; Magnoliopsida; Solanales; Solanaceae.
CUCAAAAUAGUAAAAUAUAUAAUAUAGUCAAAAUGUGGUUCAAACACAGCAAGUACACGAGCAACUAAUGAAUAGGUACAAGUCUGAAUACAUGAUCAAUGGUGUCUGAAAUAAUAAAAUAGAUAGCAAAUGGUAAAAAGACAUGGACUCGGGAUGUGCGAAAUGAAUCCAUAGAGUGCAGCUCACCCUGAGCCUUCGAGUGACUGCCUAAGCUUAAUGAGAGGCUCUGCUACUAACCACCUGAUGAUCUACAAAAAGAUGUGCAAAAGUGUAGUAUGAGUGCAUCGCAAUCGAUACUCAAUAGGUAUCAAGUCUAACCUCGAAGAAAUAGGAGUAAGGCUAUAUGUAUCAGGAUGCUUUCAACACAGAUAUAAAUAAUAGAGCUAGAGCCAUAUAGUAAAUAAUCUCAUGAAUUACAAGUAUCAAAGAUUUCAACAAUCAAAGAGUAUAAAACAUGUUUUUCUAGUACAAAAGAUAAUCAUAACGUUGUUCAGAUAUAGUAUUUAAACAUAGCAUGUUUCAUUCAAUGGAGUUGAGACUCCUAACUAGCAUAUAGAGAUGUCAUGCAACAAUAAGCACCUAAAUGAAUACUUCUGAAUGUGUAAAAGACACAUAUGCAUACUAAAAUUAGUACACGAUCCAUGUAUCAUAAUACACAAUCCAUGUAUCACCAUAACCCGAUACAAAAUCCAUGUAUGGACCAGAUACACCAUCCAUAUAUCAACCACGCUCACAAGGCCAAAAGUAACAUGGUUAAUCACCUGACUCCGGAGAGACGAAUCAUAAUCCAAGCGUAAAAAUGAUCUUGAUAAAUCAUCAUAAAAAUAUUCGUUUAUCAUGUCAUGUGUGCUAUAAUUGUAUUCUCUCCGCACGAUCCUACCUUUCGUGCCACAAUCUCAGUCCAACGCAAGUAUCCAAUAUAGUACGUAUACAUAUGUCCAAGAAUUAUACAUAACAGAUGCACAAGGACUUAAUAAUAAUCAUAUAUGAAUAAUUUAUAUAUAGUACAUAUCCCUUCAUAAUACGUAUGCUAUGUCCAAGAAUUAUAUAUAUGUACUCGUGGAAUUUCUAUAGGACCACACACGAUUCAAAUAAUUUGCCAGAUCAAGAAUAACCUUCCAUGUAUUCAAAUAUAAUCAUAAACCUACGCAUGAUCUCUAAAACAAAUAAGAAAGCAAUGUAGUCAUAUAAGCCAACAAAUCAUGAAUCAAGAUGAGCACAUAAUCAAAACAAGGCAUAAAUAUCACAAUUCUACUAUAGACAUAAUAUAAACAUGUUACGUGCAUAUGUGCCCACCCAGCAUACACACUACUGCCAAUACCUUAAGCACAUAGCAAUCAAGACAAAUCCUAGGGGUUUCACUCUUAAUAAGGUUAGCUAAGAGACUUACCUCCGCCCGUAACCUAGAAAUCACCAAAAAUGCCAAUUAGUCAAAAAUCCAACUCCAAACUGCUCGAAUCUAGUCAAAUACAACCCAAUAACCUCAUAAAAGCCAUAAAAAUCAAUCUCAUAUAAUAAAAUUCAAAUCUUUAAUCAAAUACACAAAGUCAACCAAAAAUUUAACCCAGGCCUACUCCCAGGAAACCGAUAAAACUCACAAAUCCUAACUAUUCAUUCUAAUACGAGUCCAAAUUUAUUAGUUUCAUCCAAAAUCAAUUCCAAACCGGGAUUCAAAUCUCAUAUAUUCACUUUCCAAUCUAGCACAACCCCCCCCCCCCCUCCCCCGCCCAAAUUCCACUUUAAAAUCCAUGGCUUUAGGUGUAGAAAUCCAUAGAAAAACAGGAUAUAAAGUCAAAUCCAUGUGUAAAUUCCUUUUCUCCAAUUGAGUGGUAAAAUUUCUCUUCAAAAUCUUCCACUCUUGAUGUCUAGGGACCAAAAUAAAAUAAAAAGUGGGUAAAAAUCCCAAAAUCACAACUUAAUUAUUCUGCCUAGUGAUAUGUAUCACGAUCGCGACAUACCCUUCGCAAUCGCAAAGAUCAAAAAUCUUCCCGGCUGAAAUUCCACUUAGAAAGUGCAAAGUACCUCACGUGAAAGCAAUGAACCCACAAGCCAAGCCUACAAGAACACGACCCAUGGCCUGCGAACGCGAAUGCAACCAAUUUGCCUGAUGCCCAACCUUUGUAAACGUGGCCCCCUACACACGAAUGCGAAGCACCAAUACUCACCCCUCCAUGAAAGUGAAUCUAGUCACGCAAAUGCGAAGAGUAAAUCUUCGCUUACCAACUCCUCUAUUCCACGAUCACAAGACAAGCUCUACGAUCACGAAUGAAAACCACCCUAAAUCACAUCCGAGUCCUCCAGGACCCUGUCCAAUCAUGCCAACAAGUUUCAAUACCUAAUACAAACUUAUCCAAGGGCUUGAAACACAAUGAAUAACAUCAAAAUUAAUAAUAGUUAAUCAAAAUCCUUCUCAUAUGUUUCAAACAUUCAAACUUCUAACUAAACGUCUGAUUCAACUUCAUCCAAACUUUGCACACAAGUUUCAAAUGAAAUAACAAACCUAUUUCAAGUUCCGGAACAACAAUCCAAAUAUGAUACCAUCAAAGUCAACUCCCAGUCAAACUUAGGAACUCUCCAUACCUACAAGUUGCUAACUUUCGACAAAUAGAGCCCAAAUAUCAUAGGAACCUCUAAAUACAAAUAUGAACAUAUUCCUAAGUCCAAAAUUACCCUACAAACCUAUUGGAACUAUCCAAAUAUAGAUCCGAGAUCAUUUAUAUAAAAGUCAAACUUUGAUUAACUCUUACAACUUAAGCCUCCAAAAAUGAAACUAAGUAUUGCAAUUCACUCUCUAACCUUCCCUAAGCCAAACCAACCAUCCCUGCAAGUUACAAAGAUCAAAUAAAUAUACGGGAAGUAUCAAAUAGGAGAACGGGCUCAAGUUCAUAAAAGGACUGAUCGGGUCGUUACAAUCUAUUGCUAGAAAAAAAAAUUGACCACUCACAGGAUCAGAAUUGGAGAAAAUCAAUGGAUUCUGAUGGGGAGUAGAUAGCUAAGGAAGCAACCAGUUUCUUUAAAGACUUAUUCACUCAACCACAUUACUAUAAUGAUCUCAGUAAUCUAGCUUGCAUUAACAAGUUGAUUACAGAUAAAGACAAUGAACUACUCACUACAAGGCUUAUAGAGAAGGAGAUUAAAGACAUAGUCUUUAACAUGAAUCCAGAUUCAGCUCCUGGACCUGAUGGAUAUACAACAACCUUCUUUAAAGAGGCAUGGGAUAUUAUUUCCUUGGAUCUUACUAAUCUAGCUUGCUAUUUGUUUUUUGCAAUUCAUGAACUACCUAAAUACGUCACUCGCACUUGCUUGAUUCUCAGAGCUGUCACACUUUCUUUUUACACCCGCGGGGUAUAAAAGGGAGUUUUUCCAAUUAAAGUGACAUUAUUCGAUAUGUGAUUAUUUUAUUUAUUUUUCAGAGUCGCCAUUUAAAAUAAUUUAUUUGGUAUUCCAAGUCACCGGUUUAUUUUAAAUCCCAAAUCGAGGAAAAUCUGACUUUAUUUAAAAAUCUGCGAAACCAAAAAAACUAGGUAAGGAAUUCUGUUAACCCGAGAGAAGGUGUUAGGCAUUUCCGGGUUUCGUAGUUCGAGCACAAUCGCUUAACUAUUAAUAAUUGGCCUAAUUAUCUGAUUUAUUAUAUGUUUUAAACCUAUUGUGCAUUUUUAACUUUAUUACCGCUUUUAAUUAUUUUAACCGCUUUGUAGGAUUUAUGGAAUUAUUUCUUGAACAAAUUACGAUUGUCGUACACUUGCCAUUUUGGAACACACCGCAAACCACGCUACAUGAAAUGCACUCACGAUUCGCGAUAUGUUUUUUUUUAUUAUUGUUCGAAGUUGUUAUGAUCGGAUCACAUAAAAUACACACCCGAAUUGGGAAUUAUGUAUCACGACUAUACCACGGGAACCAUACUCAUAGCUGUAAUAAUUUAAUUAUGCGCCUAAAGCAAACUACGCAUGUAAUGAUUGCAAACCUUCAUUAUAUGGCUACCUAGCACCAAUUACCCAAAGUCACGUUAGACUAGGUAUAAGUGAACAAAUAAUGCAAAUCCACGACUUUAAUAAAGUAAAUUUAUUUUUCCUUGGUGUUAAAAAGGAAACAACCAACACAAUAGCUUUUGACAUGUACAGGUAGGUUAAUAUUACAUAAGCAACAAAACAACAAUUUCAAAUCUAGGUGUGGCCUAAUUUGAAUUUUGCUCAAUAAAAAACAAUAAGUUGCAUCAAUUUAACUAAUAACCUAUUUGGUCAAGCUUCGUUUUGGCCAAAAGUGUUUUUUUUGGUAAAAAGUAUUUUUGGCCAAAAAUUGAGGUAUUUGACCAAGCUUUUUGGAAGGAAAAAAGUACUUUUGAGGAAAGCAAAAGCAGUUUUAGAGAAACAGAAAAAAGUAAUUUCUCUCCAAAAGCACUUUUUUGAGAAGCACUUUUGAGAAAAAUAUACUUAUAAGUAGUUUUUUAAAGCUUGGUCAAAUACUAAUUGCUGCUCAGAAGUGUUUUUCAAACUAAUUAGCCAAACACAAACUGUUUAUCACCAAAAAUACUUUUGAAAAAAGCACUUUUAAAAAAACACUUCUCAAAAUAAGCUGAUUUUUGUAGCUUGGCCAAACAGGUAUAAACCAUAUGACGAAACAGUAGAGUAAAGACAUGGGAAAGGAACUAGCUACAGAUAAAGGUAAAUGACACAUGUUACAAGCCAAAUACUAGUACUGGUUUUUUUUUGUGCCAUACUGCCAUACAUCAUAACAGAUGAAUCUUGGAGUUUCCUUUUUGAUAAUUUCUUAGUACUUUUAUCACUACUGUUUGAUCUGUACUAUUCUAUUUUCUCAAGUUUAGCUUUGUACUAAUAUAACGUAUUUUUUCAUUUGAUUUGUUGUUUGGUUGUCCACAAAUAUAUGAGCAAAAGGAAUGGAACAUUCAUUUCUAGAUUUUGUUUCGCUGCUGGUGGAAUAUGCUUAGUCGUUUUAGAAUCGCUGUAAGCUCAGUGAUUUUUUUUUUCUUUCUCAGUAGAGAUAUAUCACAAGGCAAGAUAGUAGAUUAGAAAUUAAUGUAGAAAAGUCAGUUUUCAAUUCGUAACUUCUUAAACAUUGCUCAGGAUCCAAGUUGCAACAGCAUUUAGGAAAGACAAACAUUUCAUUUGGGAUACAGAGAUUUUGAAAAUAUGAAAGCAGAAAACAUACCGAUCAGCUCUAUCGAACCCAAAUCUAGCACCAAAAAUAAAAUGCAACGGAAAGUUUUCUCUGGGUCACAUUGUUGAUAAAAUUCUUCAAUACUUCUAUGUUUCUUCUGAGAAUUUUUUCAGAUUCUUUGGCUAAGUGGGGAUAAGUAGAGUAUGAGAGGCAUGAAAAUGGGUCUAUAUUUUCAGGUCUCCUUCUUCCGUCUUUUCUGAAUGAGAGUCUGGUUUUUUGAGGGAGAAGAAGAGGGAAUGAGAAGAAAGGGGAAGCUGUGCUAGGUUUUUUUCAGCUAAAGGGGGAGGGUCCAAUUCUUUCAGAGAGGUCUGUUUGGAGGAGAUGAUGAUGAAGAAACCAGAAACGGCGCUAGGGUUGGGGUGUGUGUUUUACUGAAAAAGAAAACGAGUGAAAAAGGUGUCGGUGAUCAAAUCCCAAUCAAAAAAGUGGCGGCUAGACAUUCAGGGAAACGAGGCAUAAUGAAUAACUUUAAGCCACAAGAAGCAAUGUCAAAACCAACUAGAAUUCUUAGGAAUGAGACCAAAGAGCAAUGCGUCCCCUCUAAAAAUGAUGUACCCCUGGAAUAUAUGAGAGUUCUUAGCUAAAUUCCAGGAAAAUCACGUGAAAAGUGGAGGAGAUGGAUGUGCAUUGUGUUUUUUCGUUUUAGUAAGGUGGAAACGGCUGGGAGCUUUUUUUUUGCCUUAGGU